AUCGAUAGUAUCAGAUCGGGACACCCGGUUUGUGUAGAAUACCGAACUUCUAAAAUUAUGAAGUUACAGUGAGAUGAAAAUAUGCGGAUUUUAAUAUAAAAAGGGCAAUAAAUAAAAAUAGUAUGAGAAACUAUUUUUAUUGGAUUUAGAGAAGUGAAAUAUAGGUUGGGAAUGACCUAUGCUGAAAUCGGAGCGAAAACAGAAUAUUUAGAAUUUUCUGUGUGAAAUGGGGCAGAUAAAUUAGCAGAAAAUGCAUAGUGUCAGAAAAUUAUGAAAACUGGAGGAUAAGUCAGAAUUAAUUUUAUGAGGCUAGAUUUAAAGUUUCAACCCAUUCUGACACCCGGAAGGUGGAAAAUAAAAUCCGACAGUUAUCUGAUAAAGAUUAGAGUUCGGUAGAGCUUUCAGUGACCAAACGGGGUCGAAACUGAAAGAUUAAAAUUUCUUUCGUUAAGUUAAGCAAAACCGAACAUCACUGUCAGAUUUGAGCUCAACCGGAUAUUCAGAGGGCUCCGGCGAAAGAUAUCAGAUUUCGAACUGCCUGAAGUGAAUAGUGUUUUGGC
RNAcentral lists this long non-coding RNA (560 nucleotides) under Ananas comosus (pineapple). Its description in RNAcentral is "long non-coding RNA (ACOM_LNC038876)". The record is from RNAcentral. Lineage: Eukaryota; Viridiplantae; Streptophyta; Magnoliopsida; Poales; Bromeliaceae.